RNAcentral lists this long non-coding RNA (1917 nucleotides) under Monodelphis domestica (gray short-tailed opossum). RNAcentral's name for it is "lncRNA (ENSMODG00000045999.1)". Lineage: Eukaryota; Metazoa; Chordata; Mammalia; Didelphimorphia; Didelphidae. The record is from RNAcentral.
GCCAGAUAUGAACUCUUAAGAGGUGAGUAUUCUGGUAUCCAGGACGGAAGUAAGUUAGUAUGGAUGGAAGGAAGGAAGGAAGGAAAAAGGGAAGGAAGGGAGGGAGGGAGGGAAGGAAGGAAGGAAGGAGGGAGGCAGGGAGGUCAGACCCACUUGGUUCUGGUCAGCACAGCCGAUGGCACAGUCGGACGUGGCGACGGUGCCUGGGAAAUGCCUGCCCCUGCCCUGGUCUGAAGGAAGAAAUGCCAGCACAGACAAAGCAGCCAAAACAGCCUCAGAGAGGGGCCAAACGCCCUGGGAAACGGGUUGUGGUCCUGGAGGGCUGCCUAGAGGGAGGCCUUGAAGGGUGAUGAGAAAUUCCAUUAGCAAAGAGUGGGCGAGGACUCUGGGAUGAAGAGCCCAAGCCAGGGAGGGAGAGCAGAAAGGGCUGAGGGACCAGGAGGAGCUGGAGCUGGUAGACACAGCAGCCCCCAAGGCCCCGAGGGCUCUGAAUGCAGGGCAAAGAGGGACUGACAGUACCCAGGACAAACCGGGAGUCUGAACAUUUAAGACCCUUCCCUUCUGUCUUAGCAUCAAGACAAGAAUUGGUUCUAAGGCAGAAGAGUGGUCAGGAUGAGGCCAUGGGGUAGAGGGAUUUGCCAGGAUCACACAGCUAGGGAGUGCCUGAGGUUGGAUUUGAACCCAGAACCUCCCGCCUCUAGGCCUGGCUCCCUAUCCACUGAGCUGCCCAGCUGUUCCUCAAUGAAAGUUUCUGAAAACAAGAGUGCUGUGACCCUGCUGUGACAGCCGGCUGAGGAGGGGUCUCCCUGCCCUCUCCCCUUCCAGUCCAUCCUCCAUUCAGCCCCCAAAGUGAUCUUCCUAAAUCCCAGUCUGACAUGUUGCCCCCGGGGGCUCCCUCCUGCCUCCAGAGCCAGCACAACACACUGAUGGCCACCGGAAGCCCCCCUCGCCUCUCCUCAUUCUCCUCCAGGCUCUGGUCCAGUGGCCUCCUCCACUCUGACGGCUGGUCUCUCUGGUGUCUUUGGAGUCCCGGUUAAAGGGCCACCGCCUCCAGGAAGCCCCUCAGAAUUCCAGGGCCUUCCCUCUCCUUUCCUAUCUAGCCUGGCUCUGGCUGGUGUGUACACAGCAGCAGGCAGCUUGUCUCCUCCUGGAGACAGUGAGCCCCGGGGGACAGGCGCCGUCUUCUCUUCUUUUGGGGUCCCCGGCAAGAUUCUCACCUUGGCCUCUGGCCUCCUUACGGGUGGCCUCGAUGGGCCUUUCCCACCUUAUUUAACAUCCUGCCCUUCCCUACACACUCCAGGCAGCCUGGUCUCCCCCGUGCCGUCUGAUCACGCUCCGUGUCCCACCUCCCUGCGUUUGCUGUCCCCUCUGCCUAGCCUGCCCUCUCCCCAGAGCUCUCACGGAAGCCACCCAUUCCUAUUGGCAUUCUCUGCACGUGCCCCGGGUGCCCAGGCAGUGCUUAUUUCACACACACACACACACACACACACACACACACACACACGCACACACACGCACGCUCACACACAUGCACACAUGCACACACGCUCACACACAUACAUACACACAGACACACGCUCACACGCACACACAUGCUCACACACAUGCGCGCAACACACUCACACAUGCACACACACUCACACACAUGCUCACACACAUACGCUCACACACGCAUGCACGCACACACUCACACACAUAUGCUCAUACACAUGCACACACAUAGUCACAGACACACAUACACAUAUGUGCAUUCGCCCACGUGCACAGACACACACAUGCUCACACACAUGCACACAUACACAUAUGUGCAUUCGCCCACGUGCACAGACACGCUCUAAGGCUUGGCCUCUUCCCAGCCCAGGACAGCCGGGCUCCUGCCCUCACCCCUCUCCAUCCCUCGCCGUGUGCACCCAGCUG